GUCUCCGUAUUUUAGUCGGCAGAAAACCCGACUAUAAUGUGGUAGAACUCUGGUUCGAGCCCCGAUGAAGGCA
This is a non-coding RNA of Henosepilachna vigintioctopunctata, 73 nucleotides long. Lineage: Eukaryota; Metazoa; Arthropoda; Insecta; Coleoptera; Coccinellidae. The record is from the annotation of a GenBank genome assembly.